RNAcentral lists this transfer RNA (71 nucleotides) under Plagiodontia aedium (Hispaniolan hutia). Its description in RNAcentral is "tRNA-Gln". It matches the Rfam family "tRNA". From Rfam's summary of the family: Transfer RNA (tRNA) molecules are approximately 80 nucleotides in length. Their secondary structure includes four short double-helical elements and three loops (D, anti-codon, and T loops). Lineage: Eukaryota; Metazoa; Chordata; Mammalia; Rodentia; Capromyidae. The record is from RNAcentral.
UAGAAUAUAGUGUACGGGUAGCACGGAGAAUUUUGAGUUCUUUAGAUUAGGUUCAAAUCCUAUUUUUCUAG